This 922-nucleotide ribosomal RNA is filed under the name uncultured bacterium. RNAcentral's name for it is "bacterial SSU rRNA". It matches the Rfam family "Bacterial small subunit ribosomal RNA", at positions 8 to 916 of the family's 1533-position model. The record is from RNAcentral.
AGAGUUUGAUCCUGGCUCAGAACGAACGCUGGCGGCGUGGAUAAGACAUGCAAGUCGAACGAGCUUAGUUUUGUAGCAAUACAAAACUGAGCUAGUGGCGAACGGGUGCGUAACACGUGAGCAAUCUGCCUUAAAGUGGGGGAUAGCUCGCCGAAAGGCGAAUUAAUACCGCAUGUGGUCCGGCUUUUGCCGGACCAAAGCCGGGGCAACCUGGCGCUUUUAGAGGAGCUCGCGGCCUAUCAGCUUGUUGGUGAGGUAACGGCUCACCAAGGCUUCGACGGGUAGCUGGUCUGAGAGGACGACCAGUCACACUGGAACUGAGACACGGUCCAGACACCUACGGGUGGCAGCAGUCGAGAAUUUUUCUCAAUGGGGGAAACCCUGAAGGAGCGACGCCGCGUGGAGGAUGAAUGCUUUCGGGUUGUAAACUCCUGUCAUUUGGGAACAAAGCCUUACGUUAACUGCGUGGAGGUUUGAUAGUACCAGAAGAGGAAGAGACGGCUAACUCUGUGCCAGCAGCCGCGGUAAUACAGAGGUCUCAAGCGUUGUUCGGAUUCAUUGGGCGUAAAGGGCGCGUAGGCGGCGGGGUAAGUCGGGUGUGAAAUCUCAGAGCUCAACUCUGAAACUGCACUCGAUACUGCUUUGCUAGAGGACUGGAGAGGAGAUUGGAAUUCACGGUGUAGCAGUGAAAUGCGUAGAUAUCGUGAGGAAGACCAGUGGCGAAGGCGGAUCUCUGGACAGUUCCUGACGCUGAGGCGCGAAGGCCAGGGGAGCAAACGGGAUUAGAUACCCCGGUAGUCCUGGCAGUAAACGGUGCACGUUUGGUGUGCGCGGAUUCGACCCCGUGCGUGCCGGAGCUAACGCGUUAAACGUGCCGCCUGAGGAGUACGGUCGCAAGAUUAAAACUUAAAGGAAUUGACGG